GGCUGAUGCUUCCAUUGGCUUGCUCCCUUCUUUCCUUGGCCUCUUCUUAUAUAUUCCCAAGGUUUGGGAGCGUUGCACCAGAGCUCACAGAUGUAAAUGUCACAUAUCUCUAGCAUUAUCGCCUUGAUCACAUUAGUGAGUCAAAAAUUAACAAGUUAUACAAAAAAAAGUUCUUUGAUCCUUAUGAUUUUGAAUCAUAUGGAACUUGUGAAUCUUGUCUCAUAGG
Molecule: long non-coding RNA, 226 nt
Filed under: Elaeis guineensis (African oil palm)
Lineage: Eukaryota; Viridiplantae; Streptophyta; Magnoliopsida; Arecales; Arecaceae
Description: long non-coding RNA (EGUI_LNC066071)
Source: RNAcentral